RNAcentral lists this ribosomal RNA (253 nucleotides) under Cherax pallidus. Its description in RNAcentral is "partial 16S ribosomal RNA". Lineage: Eukaryota; Metazoa; Arthropoda; Malacostraca; Decapoda; Parastacidae. The record is from RNAcentral.
AUUGAAUUUAACUUUUAAGGAAAAGGCUUAAAUGGGUUAGAGGGACGAUAAGACCCUAUAAAGUUUAUACAUAGAGUUAAUCAAGAGUGAUUUGGAAUAGUAAAGUUCAUUAUUAGCAAGAUGUUUAGUUGGGGUGACUAGAAUAUAAGUUAUAUAACUGUUUUUUGUUUUAAUCAGAGAUAUCUGUUUAUAUGGUCCCUUUUUAGGAUUAGAGAGUAAAUUACUUUAGGGAUAACAGCGUAAUUUUUUUUAA